CCUACGGGUGGCAGCAGUGGGGAAUAUUGCACAAUGGGGGCAACCCUGAUGCAGCGACGCCGCGUGAGUGAAGAAGUCCUUCGUUAUGUAAAGCUCUUUCAGCAGGGAAGAAGAUGACGGUACCUGUGUCAGAAGCACCGGCUAACUACGUGCCAGCAGCCGCGGUAAUACGUAGGGGGCCAGCGUUAUCCGGAUUUACUGGGUGUAAAGGGAGCGUAGACGGCUGUGCAAGUCUGGAGUGAAAGGCGGGGGCUCAACCCCCGGACUGCUCUGGAAACUGUACGGCUGGAGUGCAGGAGAGGGAAGUGGAAUUCCUGGUGUAGCGGUGAAAUGCGUAGAGAUUAGGAGGAACACCAGUGGCGAAGGCGGCUUACUGGACUGUAACUGACGUUGAGGCUCGAAAGCGUGGGGAGCAAACAGGAUUAGAUACCCCAGUAGUC
This 440-nucleotide ribosomal RNA is filed under the name uncultured bacterium. RNAcentral describes it as "partial 16S ribosomal RNA". It matches the Rfam family "Bacterial small subunit ribosomal RNA", at positions 338 to 795 of the family's 1533-position model. The record is from RNAcentral.